Molecule: small nuclear RNA, 281 nt
Filed under: Marmota marmota marmota (Alpine marmot)
Lineage: Eukaryota; Metazoa; Chordata; Mammalia; Rodentia; Sciuridae
Description: 7SK RNA (ENSMMMG00000010591.1)
Rfam family: 7SK RNA
About the family: 7SK was discovered as an abundant small nuclear RNA in the mid-70s but a possible function has only recently been suggested. Two independent studies have found that 7SK RNA binds the CDK9/cyclin T complex (known as elongation factor P-TEFb).
Source: Rfam by way of RNAcentral
GAAUGUGAGGGCGAUCUGACUGUGAUUGUCAGAGUUGAUCAAGCUGAUCUAUGUCUUCUUCCUCCCUUACCACUGCAUUUAUGUCCCUCCCAAAGCUGAGAGUUGGGUGGAAAAGAUAUUUGUAUUAUAAAGACAAACUUCCCUGACAGAGGGCCAUUCUUUGGUAAAGGGUAUAAGAGUAGCUGCACUCUCCUGCUAGAACCUCCAAACUCUCAAAAUGAAACUUAAACAUACUUUGUAUUAACUGUGCUCAUUCAAUUAAUCACCUUGGGUUGAGCAUU